UUGUAGUCAUAUGCUGUCUCAAAGAUAAGCCAUGCAUGUUAAGUAUAAGCACUUAUACCGUGAAACUGCGAAUGGCUCAUUAAAUCAGUUAUCGUUUAUUUGAUAGUACCUUACUACUUGGAUAACCGUGGUAAUUCUAGAGCUAAUACAUGCUAAAAACCCCGACUUCGGGAGGGGUGUAUUUAUUAGAUAAAAAACCAAUGCCCUUCGGGGCUCUUUGGUGAUUCAUGAUAACUUAACGGAUCGCAUGGCCUUGCGCCGGCGACGGUUCAUUCAAAUUUCUGCCCUAUCAACUUUCGAUGGUAAGGUAUUGGCUUACCAUGGUUUCAACGGGUAACGGGGAAUUAGGGUUCGAUUCCGGAGAGGGAGCCUGAGAAACGGCUACCACAUCCAAGGAAGGCAGCAGGCGCGCAAAUUACCCAAUCCCGACACGGGGAGGUAGUGACAAUAAAUACUGAUACAGGGCUCUUUUGGGUCUUGUAAUCGGAAUGAGUACAAUUUAAACCCCUUAACGAGGAACAAUUGGAGGGUUCAAGUCUGGUGCCAGCAGCCGCGGUAAUUCCAGCGUCCAAUAGCGUAUAUUAAAGUUUGUUGCAGUUAAAAAGCUCGUAGUUGAACCUUGGGCCUGGCUGGCCGGUCCGCCUCACCGCGUGUACUGGUCCGGCCGGGCCUUUCCUUCUGGAGAUCCCCAUGCCCUUCACUGGGUGUGCGGGGGGAACCAGGACUUUUACUUUGAAAAAAUUAGAGUGUUCAAAGCAGGCCUUUGCUCGAAUACGUUAGCAUGGAAUAAUAGAAUAGGACGUGCGGUCCUAUUUUGUUGGUUUCUAGGACCGCCGUAAUGAUUAAUAGGGAUAGUCGGGGGCAUCAGUAUUCAAUUGUCAGAGGUGAAAUUCUUGGAUUUAUUGAAGACUAACUACUGCGAAAGCAUUUGCCAAGGAUGUUUUCAUUAAUCAGUGAACGAAAGUUAGGGGAUCGAAGACGAUCAGAUACCGUCGUAGUCUUAACCGUAAACUAUGCCGACUAGGGAUCGGGCGAUGUUUCUUUCUUGACUCGCUCGGCACCUUACGAGAAAUCAAAGUUUUUGGGUUCUGGGGGGAGUAUGGUCGCAAGGCUGAAACUUAAAGAAAUUGACGGGAAGGGCACCACCAGGCGUGGAGCCUGCGGCUUAAUUUGACUCAACACGGGGAAACUCACCAGGUCCAGAUGAAAUAAGGAUUGACAGAUUGAGAGCUCUUUCUUGAUUUUUCAGGUGGUGGUGCAUGGCCGUUCUUAGUUGGUGGAGAUUUGUCUGCUUAAUUCCGAUAACGAAACGAGACCUUAACCUGCUAAAUAGCCAGGCUAGCUUUGGCUGGUCGCCGGCUUCUUAAAGGGACUAUCGGCUCAAGCCGAUGGAAGUUUGAGGCAAUAACAGGUCUGUGAUGCCCUUAAAUGUUCUGGGCCGCACGCGCGCUACACUGACAGAGCCAACGAGUUCAUCACCUUGGCCGAAAGGUCUGGGUAAUCUUGUUAAACUCUGUCGUGCUGGGGAUAGAGCAUUGCAAUUAUUGCUCUUCAACGAGGAAUGCCUAGUAAGCGCGUGUCAUCAGCACGCGUUGAUUACGUCCCUGCCCUUUGUACACACCGCCCGUCGCUACUACCGAUUGAAUGGCUCAGUGAGGCCUUCGGACUGGCCUGGGGAGGUUGGCAACACCACCCCGGGCCGGAAAGUUCGUCAAACUCGGUCAUUUAAAGGAAUAAAGAAUGGCGUAAAAGUUCCGAGGGGAAACCUCGGCGAAAA
This 1777-nucleotide ribosomal RNA is filed under the name fungal sp. 'melon seed'. RNAcentral describes it as "SSU rRNA". It matches the Rfam family "Eukaryotic small subunit ribosomal RNA". The record is from RNAcentral. Lineage: Eukaryota; Fungi.